AACUUUCAGCAACGGAUCUCUUGGCUCUCGCAUCGAUGAAGAACGCAGCGAAAUGCGAUAAGUAAUGUGAAUUGCAGAAUUCAGUGAACCAUCGAAUCUUUGAACGCACCUUGCGCCCUUUGGCUAUUCCGAAGGGCAUGCCUGUUUGAGUAUC
RNAcentral lists this ribosomal RNA (154 nucleotides) under uncultured Tomentella. RNAcentral's name for it is "5.8S ribosomal RNA". It matches the Rfam family "5.8S ribosomal RNA". Rfam says of the family: 5.8S ribosomal RNA (5.8S rRNA) is a component of the large subunit of the eukaryotic ribosome. The record is from RNAcentral. Lineage: Eukaryota; Fungi; Basidiomycota; Agaricomycetes; Thelephorales; Thelephoraceae.